GGGUUGUGAGGUUAAGCGACUAAGCGUACACGGUGGAUGCCCUGGCAGUCAGAGGCGAUGAAGGGCGUGCUAAUCUGCGAUAAGCGCCGGUAAGGUGAUAUGAACCGUUAUAACCGGCGAUACCCGAAUGGGGAAACCCAGUGUGACUCGUCACACUAUCAUUAACUGAAUCCAUAGGUUAAUGAGGCGAACCGGGGGAACUGAAACAUCUAAGUACCCCGAGGAAAAGAAAUCAACCGAGAUUCCCCCAGUAGCGGCGAGCGAACGGGGAGGAGCCCAGAGCCUGAAUCAGCAUGUGUGUUAGUGGAAGCGUCUGGAAAGGCGCGCGAUACAGGGUGACAGCCCCGUACACAAAAGCGCAUGUGCUGUGAGCUCGAUGAGUAGGGCGGGACACGUGGUAUCCUGUCUGAAUAUGGGGGGACCAUCCUCCAAGGCUAAAUACUCCUGACUGACCGAUAGUGAACCAGUACCGUGAGGGAAAGGCGAAAAGAACCCCGGCGAGGGGAGUGAAAAAGAACCUGAAACCGUGUACGUACAAGCAGUGGGAGCCCCACCACUAAGCCAGUGGUGAACUCCACAUACGCAUCCUUUGCUGAGGAUACGGUUAACGGAGCGAAAGCGACGUUCAACCGCAAAAGAAGCAGAGGGGGCUUAGUGGUGGGGUGACUGCGUACCUUUUGUAUAAUGGGUCAGCGACUUAUAUUCUGUAGCAAGGUUAACCGAAUAGGGGAGCCGGAGGGAAACCGAGUCUUAAUUGGGCGUUAAGUUGCAGGGUAUAGACCCGAAACCCGGUGAUCUAGCCAUGGGCAGGUUGAAGGUUGGGUAACACUAACUGGAGGACCGAACCGACUAAUGUUGAAAAAUUAGCGGAUGACCUGUGGCUGGGGGUGAAAGGCCAAUCAAACCGGGAGAUAGCUGGUUCUCCCCGAAAGCUAUUUAGGUAGCGCCUCGUGAAUUCAUCUCCGGGGGUAGAGCACUGUUUCGGCUAGGGGGCCAUCCCGGCUUACCAACCCGAUGCAAACUGCGAAUACCGGAGAAUGUUAUCACGGGAGACACACGGCGGGUGCUAACGUCCGUCGUGAAGAGGGAAACAACCCAGACCGCCAGCUAAGGUCCCAAAGUCAUGGUUAAGUGGGAAACGAUGUGGGAAGGCCCAGACAGCCAGGAUGUUGGCUUAGAAGCAGCCAUCAUUUAAAGAAAGCGUAAUAGCUCACUGGUCGAGUCGGCCUGCGCGGAAGAUGUAACGGGGCUAAACCAUGCACCGAAGCUGCGGCAGCGACACUGUGUGUUGUUGGGUAGGGGAGCGUUCUGUAAGCCUGUGAAGGUGUGUCGUGAGGCAUGCUGGAGGUAUCAGAAGUGCGAAUGCUGACAUAAGUAACGAUAAAGCGGGUGAAAAGCCCGCUCGCCGGAAGACCAAGGGUUCCUGUCCAACGUUAAUCGGGGCAGGGUGAGUCGACCCCUAAGGCGAGGCCGAAAGGCGUAGUCGAUGGGAAACGGGUUAAUAUUCCCGUACUUGGUGUUACUGCGAAGGGGGGACGGAGAAGGCUAUGUUGGCCGGGCGACGGUUGUCCCGGUUUAAGCGUGUAGGUGUGUGUUCCAGGUAAAUCCGGUUCACUUUAACACUGAGGCGUGACGACGAGGCACUACGGUGCUGAAGCAACAAAUGCCCUGCUUCCAGGAAAAGCCUCUAAGCAUCAGGUAACACGAAAUCGUACCCCAAACCGACACAGGUGGUCAGGUAGAGAAUACCAAGGCGCUUGAGAGAACUCGGGUGAAGGAACUAGGCAAAAUGGUGCCGUAACUUCGGGAGAAGGCACGCUGACACGUAGGUGAAGUGAUUUACUCAUGGAGCUGAAGUCAGUCGAAGAUACCAGCUGGCUGCAACUGUUUAUUAAAAACACAGCACUGUGCAAACACGAAAGUGGACGUAUACGGUGUGACGCCUGCCCGGUGCCGGAAGGUUAAUUGAUGGGGUCAGCGCAAGCGAAGCUCCUGAUCGAAGCCCCGGUAAACGGCGGCCGUAACUAUAACGGUCCUAAGGUAGCGAAAUUCCUUGUCGGGUAAGUUCCGACCUGCACGAAUGGCGUAAUGAUGGCCAGGCUGUCUCCACCCGAGACUCAGUGAAAUUGAACUCGCUGUGAAGAUGCAGUGUACCCGCGGCAAGACGGAAAGACCCCGUGAACCUUUACUAUAGCUUGACACUGAACAUUGAGCCUUGAUGUGUAGGAUAGGUGGGAGGCUUUGAAGUGUGGACGCCAGUCUGCAUGGAGCCGACCUUGAAAUACCACCCUUUAAUGUUUGAUGUUCUAACGUGGACCCGUGAUCCGGGUUGCGGACAGUGUCUGGUGGGUAGUUUGACUGGGGCGGUCUCCUCCUAAAGAGUAACGGAGGAGCACGAAGGUUGGCUAAUCCUGGUCGGACAUCAGGAGGUUAGUGCAAUGGCAUAAGCCAGCUUGACUGCGAGCGUGACGGCGCGAGCAGGUGCGAAAGCAGGUCAUAGUGAUCCGGUGGUUCUGAAUGGAAGGGCCAUCGCUCAACGGAUAAAAGGUACUCCGGGGAUAACAGGCUGAUACCGCCCAAGAGUUCAUAUCGACGGCGGUGUUUGGCACCUCGAUGUCGGCUCAUCACAUCCUGGGGCUGAAGUAGGUCCCAAGGGUAUGGCUGUUCGCCAUUUAAAGUGGUACGCGAGCUGGGUUUAGAACGUCGUGAGACAGUUCGGUCCCUAUCUGCCGUGGGCGCUGGAGAACUGAGGGGGGCUGCUCCUAGUACGAGAGGACCGGAGUGGACGCAUCACUGGUGUUCGGGUUGUCAUGCCAAUGGCACUGCCCGGUAGCUAAAUGCGGAAGAGAUAAGUGCUGAAAGCAUCUAAGCACGAAACUUGCCCCGAGAUGAGUUCUCCCUGAGACUUAGAGUCUCCUGAAGGAACGUUGAAGACGACGACGUUGAUAGGCCGGGUGUGUAAGCGCAGCGAUGCGUUGAGCUAACCGGUACUAAUGAACCGUGAGGCUUAACCUUACAACGCCGAAG
This 3027-nucleotide ribosomal RNA is filed under the name Salmonella enterica subsp. enterica serovar Anatum. Its description in RNAcentral is "bacterial LSU rRNA". It matches the Rfam family "Bacterial large subunit ribosomal RNA". Lineage: Bacteria; Pseudomonadati; Pseudomonadota; Gammaproteobacteria; Enterobacterales; Enterobacteriaceae. RNAcentral also lists the same sequence under 8 other names. The record is from RNAcentral.